CUCGCCUGCAGAGGACUCUGCUCUCCGUUUAUUUGAUUGAAUUUUGGGUUUUGAUGGCCAAAGUUUAAGACUUUGCAAGAGCAAGAUCUGGUUUUUAUUGUUGUCGCUCUUUGAGGAGGUGAUACAGCUAAGGAUUUUGGCUUUGACAAUAACGAUGUGAUUAAAGCCAUUGGGUCUCAAUUGGUGGGGUUCUCAAGAAAAAAUUGGGUUUUUGUUGGGUUUUAUAAAAGUUGUGGUUGGUUUGUCCUUUUCUUUUUGAAAGAUGGUUUAUUUAUUGAACCGAUUACUUAGAAUGCCGUAACAACUCUUGAACCAGAGUGGUAGAAGACCUCUAUUAACGUAAGAAGACUAGAUUUGGUGAGAAGGUUGGUUUGUACUUAAAACGAUAAAAUUUGAAGAUUUUGAGUUAUUGUCAAAGCACGAAGUAUAUAAAGCGGGAAAAAGCGUGGAUUAUGGAAAGAGAAAGUGAGCUAACGAAAAGGACAAAGGAGAUAAAAGCUGAUAAGGUGAUCUUGUUUAGAUGGGAAGAUGUGAGGUGAAAUGAGACUCAGAUAUUCUUUUGCUAGGAUUUUGUUUUAGCCCAUUAAUUUUCUAAAUUAUCUACUUGGAUGGAUAGAUAUUUUCUUUUCUCUUUCCUUUUUAUAGGAGUUCUUUCUCUAGUGCCCUUUUGUCUGAUUCUAUCCUUUCUUGCCUGGUUGACAGAUAAGGCUACUCUCUCGCUAGGAAGUUAAAGCAGCAGAAAAACCGGUGAGAGAAAUGGCAGCAACCGCGUCAAUCUUUACGUCUCCGACUCAACCCUUUUCGGCCACGCGGUCGGUGAGAGGUACAAGUGCCAAGCCAUCUAUUUCAAAGCCGAGUAGGGAGUCUCUUUAGACCUGCUUUUUUAACACCCAGUUAGGGAUCUUUGAUUGCUUACAUCGUUUUUCACGUUUUUGGUUGGGGAUUUGAGUUCAGCUCCCUUGAGCUGAAAUUGGGUACAAAUCUUAAUCACCAAUGGUGUGUUCGGCUUAGGUACUCUUGCUUAACUGGAAGCAACUGUACCCUUAGUAAGCAGUCAAGAGGAUCUUUCUUUAAAUGUUAUUAAAUUACAAAUCAUGGUAACUAGAUUAUCUUGCGAGAUAUAUUGAAAACAAUGGAAUUAUCCAAUCAUUUUGCCUUCAAGUUAAGAGUUAUUUCAUGCUUGUCUGUGUCAUGAUUCAUGCUCUGGUUUUUAUGCGUAAGUUGGCAUUUCUACUUUCUUAAAAGCUUGCAAUUUUAUUAACCGGUACAGUUGGUUUGCUAGGUCUCUGGUUUUGAGGAAGUGUAGAAUGGCAAAUAGGAAUCCUUGGGCUAUGACCUGUUUUAGAUUUGAUUAUUUAGGGCGCAACUUUCCCUUAAAUUUCAAUCCUGUAUUGCGCUGCAUAAUUUUGUACACUUCUAAGCUGAAAUUAUAUCAUUUGAGUCAGAAAAUCCAAAUAUCAUUGAGCAAGUCAUUUACUUCGUAGUCUCCAUCAAAUGAACUAGAGCUUCUAAAAUGAGUUGGUAACCUAGGGCUUUGGAGUUGGCAGUUGCUUCAUUCUGUUUAUAUCUGCAAUAAAUUCUAUGUGCCAGAACAAACUAAUGUUGUUGUGACUCAAAAUGCCAAGUAAAAUAGCUAGACCUUAUGCCUCAAAUUUCUGAUGCCAAACAGUUUUGCAAUUUUUUCAGAUGCAGCUAGUAGCUUUAUGGGUGCAUCAUUGCCAAGGGAUUUUGCAAAGACGAAAAGAUUAGUCAAGAUAAGUGUAAAAGUGACUGCAGCUGCUACUGUUACAAAAAAUCCUAUGGAACAAAUUAAAGAGUAUGGACUUUAGUUUCCUUCUAUUUUUGCUGUUUCAUUAAGCUUAAAGUGUUCUGGCUUUGGAGUUUUCUUUGAAAAGAAUUGUUGAGUUGGGUUUUUGCAUUUUAAGGAAUAAUAUCUUCUUUGGGAGUGGAAAAUUGGAGGAAUUCACCCUCUACAUGUUUCUACGUGCAGCAUGCUGAAGUUAUAUGUAUCUCAAGUUCUAAACUGCAAUGUGGUGUUGUUUGAAAUUUUUUAAUCAUUCAAACAGAAUAAUCUGAAGAUUCCUGCCCAACAGGUAUGCACUCCCUUCGUGGGCUAUGUUCGAACUGGGGAGGGCUCCGGUAUAUUGGAAAACCAUGAAUGGUCUUCCUCCAACUUCUGUGAGUGCAGCAUUGCUGGUUUUAUUAUUAUUAUUUUUGCUUUAUGUUGCUUGAAAGCAAGGGCAGGCUGUUGGCUGUUGCAACUCUUUUCUAUAGAGAUUGUCUUUUUUGACAGGGAAAGAAGGUGAAGCUUUUCUACAAUCCAGCUGCAACUAAACUUGUUCCAAAUGAAGAAUAUGGCAUUGCUUUCAAUGGUAAUUUGUGCUCAUGCACUCUUAGCUUUAAUAAUAUAAUUAACCAAAUUGGUUUCUGUAGAUUUCAAUAUAUAAAAGUCUGUACAAAUAAGAAGUACUACCUGUGAAAGGACUCUAGUUAUAUUAUAGACUGUAACACUAUGGCUUCUGUUAUGUCCUAAAAGUAUAAAACAAAUUUAUUCAUAAAAUGAAGUAUUUAAUAGGCUUGUUGUUACCAGUAUUACCAAGGUUAUUUAAUAAAUUAAGCAGUUUUUCUUCAUUUGGUUCUAUAGCAACACUCAGAAAUUUGGUUCUUGACAUUAUUACAGAAAAUAGGAACAUUUUGAUUUUCUUCUGCAUUAUCAGGAGAUUGCCAUCAAAAACGGCAAAAAGAAAAGAAAAUGAAAGUAGGGGGGAUAGAAUAACUUGUAAUCAUUUCAAAUACCUCACAGUUGAAUGACCUUGGUUCAUGGCAUGACUCAAAUGGAUCUUUGAUAAUUUCCACAAUUUGUUUUCCAUAGCUCAGCUACCAUUGGUUAAGUGAGUGGUGCCUGUAGUUCUUUCUUCAGUGGUUUAUCUAGGGGUUCUAGUAUUUGAUUCAUUGUUGGGUCGACUAUAGGUUUUGUAUGCAAGUAGAUAAUUGAAGUCCUUGGCUAACAACUUACUCAACUGUAACUCUGCAGGAGGUUUCAAUCAGCCUAUCAUGUGUGGUGGUGAACCGAGAGCAAUGCUGAGGAAAUCUCGAGGCAAGGCUGAUAGUCCAAUAUACACCAUCCAGAUAUGCGUUCCUAAGCAUGGUUUGUAACAUUCACAAAUUUUUUUCUCUUGGACAGUUCAACUCUCUCCUCAACUCCUAAAAUCUACUUUUACUUUGGCAGCUGUGAACUUGAUCUUCUCAUUCACAAAUGGAGCCAAUUGGGAUGGUCCUUACAGACUACAGUUUCAAGUUCCGAAGUCUUGGCAAAACAGAGCAAUUGAAUUCUUUAACCAGGUAAAUUUAUGCAUACUUGGGCUCUAUGAUUCUUCUGCCUCUAGGUUGAAGAUAAUUGUCCUGUGCUAUGAACACAUAUUACAUUUCGCAUUCGUGAUUGUCAUACCUGUAACUAUUUGGAAGUGAAGCAAAAUUUGGCAAGCCAUGCAUUACGAAAAAAAUGUUUCUUCUAUGUUGCUGGCAGGGGGUAGGGAAGGUGGAUCUGGAAAGUAAAUUUGAAGAAUUCAUUUUUUAUUUUGACCUAAACUAGAGAACUCAUUGCCAAACCAUGCAAUAUUGUGAAUUUCUCUGUUUCAUUUUACACUUGAGUUAAUUUCUAUUUGGAAUGAUUGAAUUGGUUCAGACUAGACAAGUGAGAGAAUAAUGUAACCUGAGACAUGUGAAAUCUUGUAUCACUGUGGCAGGGGCUGGCAGAGGAGUUGAGUCAAGAAGGUGCAUGUGACAGGGCAAUCUUUCCAGACACAAAUAUUGUUGUUGAUAGAUGUGUUAUGAUCGGGAACUUAUCCAAAGAAGGAGUAAAUAAACUUCUUAUCUGUGUUCUUCUUUAUUCUACAUCUUCAUUUCGUUAUUCUGCAUCUAAUUGCUAGCAUCAACUUUAUGUAUGAACUCUACAAUGGAACACUCUUGCAGGGUGAUCGUUGCAGCCUUGAUCUAGUUCCUGGAUGCAUGGAUCCUAACUCCUACUUAUACAACCCUCUCGCUAAUGUAGAUGACGGGUCAUGCCUAAUUGACUCUGAUUCUGAGGACUAGUGUCAGCCAGCCGCAUCUCAUUCACUCAUCUCAUAUCAUUUAAUACAAUCAUUUGGCGGAGGUCUAGAGUUACCAUGGCAGACUAUUUGCCGAAUGACUCCCUGCUCUUAACCGCUAGUCCUAUAGGGCAUUUGCCCUGCCUGUGACUUCUCAAGAAAUUCGAAUAUAAAGCUGCAAAUAUUCAUAUGAAUGAGGUACAGGAUAAUUAUAUUACAAAUUGGCUAUCAUCUCCACCCUGACAUUAGUUGCAGUAUAUCGUAACAGUUGUGACGAUUGAAAUGAGACAAUUCUUGUAUAGAAUGUAGCAUAAGGCAUAUAUCCUUAAAAUAAGUUCACCGCAUGAUUCCACUGAGUUUGACUUGCUUGGUGGCAAGGAUCUUUAGAGCUUUCUUUUUUAUGCUUAAGUAGGGUUUGGAGUUGGGAUUACAAUUAGAUAACAAUAUUUUAUUGACAGUUUGAUAAUAUCAGAAUGUAGAUUAGAAACCCUGCAGAAUCUUACUAAAAUUUGCUUGACAAUAAACCCUUACUAAAACGGCAGCAUCCAUACCCUUUGCCUUAACAUGAAGGCAAGGCCUCAUUUGACUAGUUGCAUAAUUCUUGCCAUCCAGAGAAAUUUAUGCUAACAGAUUGGCAUCCAGGAUAAUUGUAAAAAAAUUAAGUUUGGUCAAUGGUAAUUAUCUCUCCAACUGAAAAUAUCAUAUCUCUGUCAAGUCUACCUAAUGAAAAAGGACAGACAGAGGAAUAGGAUAUCCAUGACAAUGAUUAAAGAUGGAAAGCAAUGUUAAAUGUGCUGAAAGCUCAUCAGCUUGGUUUUAAUUAGGACCAUCAAACGCCCCUGUUCAGCAGCUAGAGGACAUAGAUAAUAAAUCUUUCUGGCAACGCAUAAUGAAAAAGAUGUACAACUAAACUAUUAGCUAUGCAUCAAUAUCAAACUGGUCCAGUUCUACCCAGGUUUCUGGGUCAAGGCCCUGCCAAACUUCAAAGACAAGUGAAAGCGCAAAGGCUUUGCAUGCCAUGAAAACUGGUCCUGUGAUUCUUGUAAUAUGACACGAUUUGACCUGUCAAAAAACCAUUGACAGAAUGGUCGUAGGACGAAAGUUCUUUUAUGAAUUCAACUUCUAGAACAGGACAAAGAAAGUAGUACAAAACACAUCCUAGGCUCUAACUUUAACAUGCUUAUCCUAUGCCAAAAAGAAUAUUGACAAAUGUGAAAUGACUGCAAGCAAGCAAUGUAAGCACCCCAAGAAAACAGAGGCCACAUCGAAAAAAAAAACACAAGGAUUAGAACAUUGACACCCCAUUUUAACUUGUUUUCUAAACUACCAUUCCCCUUUUGCUUUUUCCCCUUUGAGCAGCAAUUUACAUUGUCUUCUUCAAAUUUGACGUUGCCAUUUGAGCAAUUCUUCUUAUCUUAACAAGCCCUCUUUCAUGGUACCAGAAACAAGUGGACAUUUUCUCUUGCUGUCUUCGUACUUGCCAGCAAGGGAAUCGAAUAGGAUUCCAGCACCAACACCAACAGCCAAAUCAAUGGUGUGACAACCCCUGGUACCUAGCAACCUCACAGCUUGAAGCACAUUCAAUGUAUCAAAUAACCAUGCCAAUUCCCAUCUACGCAUUCGCCUCAUUUCGAACGACGCAAUCACAGAUCCAGCAACAUGGCCCGAGAAGAAUAGGAAGAACGAUACAUUCCCUACUGGAAAAUCCACUCCUGAACCUACAAAUUCCUGUCAUUCCAUGAUUGAAUCAGCUGAUCAAACCCAAUAACCAACCAGAGUUAAGAAAAAGGGAUUACGACUACCCUGUUCCUGACAACUAUAGACAAAGACAAAGAUACCAUUGACAGUGUUGUUCAUUAUCUUCAGAAAUCAAUCAAACAUGAUCAUACCAAUUUUAUGGAAAUGAAAUCAAACAAUUCAAAUCAGGGAAGGAUAAGUUUUCAAAUGUUAAGAACCUGGGGUAAUGGGAGCUGCGUGGAGUAACCAAGAAUCCCACGACAAGUAAACAUGAACAAAGCAGAUAUUGUAGCCCUUGGCCGACACUCGAUUAGCCAUGUCCAUAGUAUAUAAACUGUCUGCACCCCUACAAACACCUCACCCCAAAACAUAUGUAUCCAAAGAUCAGAUCAUGCUUUUUGCUGUAAUCAAACUUUCUUAGAGAAAAGUUAGAAACCAUUCAAAGUUAUAUUAUAUAUUGACAUGUUAAAAAAGCUCUUAUGACACUUUUCAAUUUUUACCUAUACCUUAUGUCAAUGCCACACGAAAUAUAAAAUAUAAAUAAUAAUUUAAUUAAUAAUAAUUAAUAAAUUGGUAGUAAUAACAAAUUAUUUAAUUUAAAAUAAAAAUAUAAAAAUUUAACUAAUUGUAAUAAAAAAAUGACUUAUUUAAAUUUUUAAAAUAAUUUAAAGAUUUUUUUAAAUAUUAUAUUUCAAUAUAAUAAUUCUUAAUCUGAUACAUUUUUAAUUAAUUGCAUUUGAAGAAUGCAUAAGGGACUCAUAAAGGUAGAUCUAUAAGAUCUCCAUGUGUGGAAUCAAUUUUUUUUGCCUCUUUGUUUUUACUAAUAAAUACAUUGUGAUGAAAAAAAAAGCAAAAAGAAAUCAAUGAAAAUAUACUUGAAAAAGUUCAUGCAAUUUAUUCUUGAGGAAACAAUACUCAUGUUCUAAGAGCUCCAAAGCUCUCAGGCACCUUCAUUUGACAUGCUAAAACAUCUCUUUAGCCAUAUCUUAAAGUGGGUAAUGAGGUUGUUUCUGAUUAAAAAUAAAAUAGUGAAAGGAAACGGUAAACUUGGAAGUUGGAAAUGGAGUAGUAUAAAUGUUUUGACAUUAAAAAAAGGGGAUUUUUUUUUAUCUUUUAAAAAUAACGUGCUUUUGUAAAUAACCCUCAUGAUAAUUUUAACUGUUUUUAGCAAAAAGAAUAGAUUUUGGGACAAAAAUGCUCUUAAUGAGCCAUCUUCGUUAGCGUGCAUUAUCAAAUAGGUGGAAAAUAGGAAAAAAAAUAAAUUUGCAAAGAUUGGUUGUGCAAAAUACCUUUUUUUUUUUGCGAAGGUUGUGCAAAACAAAAUAAUGUUGCAUGAGAUGGGUUUUCAGAUAUUUGGGACAUGACAUUCAGAUAAUAGAAGAAGAGAGAUAUUAAAUCGAACGAGGAACCAGUCGUCAUGAAUGGAAAGCUUAGCUAAUGAUGUGAAACCAGAAAUCCUUGAUACGGUAGUGAAUUGAAAGGAGAAAGAUGUGAAUCCAAAGCAGGAAAUGGUCUUGCUAUAGCAAGCCAUAUGUGAGACAGUUGUCGCAGGGCAGGGUUUAGAGUUUGUGAAACGUCAUGUUGGGAAUGUGUGACACGGCACCGCUCAGAGUUGGUGAGACGCCAGAGUUAAGAGUUGGUGACACGUCAUGGUGAGAAUCUGUGACACGCCAACGUUCAGAGUUGGUGAGACGCCAUGGAGGGAAUCUGUGACACGCCAGAGUUAAGAGUUGGUGACACGACAUAGAGGGAAUCUGUGACACGCCAACGUUUAGAGUUUGUGAGACGCUAUGGAGGGAAUCUGUGACACGUCAAAGUUAAGAGUUGGUGACACGCUAUGGAGGGAAUCUGUGACAUGCCGGCAUUCAGAGUUCGUGAGAGGCCAUGGAGGGAAUCUGUGACAUGCCAGAGUUUAGAGUUGGUGACACGCCAUGGAGGGAAGCUGUGAUACUCUAGAGUUAAGAGUUGGUGACACACCAUGGUCAUGGUUUAAAGUGUGUGACACGGCAUUGCUUGAAAAGUUGACACGCCAUGGUCAUGGUUUAGAGUGUGUGACACGAUAGUGCUUGAGCAGCUGACACAUCAUGGUUUGAAAUAGAGAGAGGAAAAAAAAGAGGGCAGUUAACGUGGUAAUCGUUUAGACUUUCACUGAAUUAAUUCCCUUUUUUCAGAAUCAAUAAGAAUAUUAAAAGGCCAUUUUUCAUUUUAAACAAUUAUUAUUCAGAAUUCAUAACGUCUAUGUGAUUCAUUUCUCAUUCCAGCCGGUACCAGAGUGUUCGAAAAGGCUAUUUGAAAGCGUAAUGACACCACAGCACCAGCAACAAUGUCAACCAUGAAUGAAGAGGUCAAUGAGUCUCAAAUUAAAACAUUCUUGUGUUCGUUAAUUUUUUGGUUUUUCCUAGGUUUGUUUGAUAUGUUCGGGUUUUUUGUUUUGUUUUGCAAAUGUUUAGACUGUAUUUUCUUACUGGUUUGAUGGUUGUUGGGGUUAAGUCGUAGUGAUUUUAGGGGUUUUGGGUGUUUACCGUGUGAUGCCAUUGUUAUUAUAGUUAGUUAUUGACGCGUCAGCUUUAUAUGAUUUGAUUUGAUAUGCAUGGCAUGUGACAACAUUUUACUUGAUAUGCAUGGCGUGUCACAACAUUUUACUUGUUAUGCAUGGCGUGUGACAGCAUUUUACUUUAUAUGCAUGGCGUGUAACAACAUUUUACUUGUUAUGCAUGGCGUGUGACAGCAUUUUAUUUUAUAUGCAUGGCGUGUGACAGUAUUUUACUUGUUAUGCAUGGCGUGUCACAACGUUUAACUUGUUAUGCAUGAUGUGUCACAACAUUUUACUUGUUAUUCAUGACGUGUCACAACAUUUUACUUGUUAUGCAUGGUGUGUCACAAUAUUUUGCUUGCUAUGCAUGGCGUGUCACAACUUUUAUUCCUUAUUGCACAUGACGGCUUAACUCAUUGAUGCAUGUGUGCCAUGUUUUGUAGAUCCAGCGUAGAUAGUAUGAGGAUCUUGACAGUUUGCUAAUUGUGCCAAGGGAGAAGUGGGCGUUCAACGUUGCAAUUAACACCCACUGUAAGUGGUCGCAACUGCAUUACAUCACAAAGACUCUCCAACAGAAGGAGGAGUACGAUGCAGUUAAGCGUACCUGCUUCGAAAUGCUCCUAGACGUCUAUCCACAUGGGUACUUUUGUGCCGGUCUCCUGCACAGCAUCAUGAUUCAUCGGAUCAGUGAGAGCCAGUCAAUGGACCACGAGCUAUGGUUUGCCAUUGGCAAGAGCAAGGCGCGGCUAUCAAAGCAGGAGUUUUGCCUCAUCACCGGGGUUGAAGUUUGGUCCAAUGCCUGAUGUGUUCAAACGACCGUACGAGGUUGCUGUGGCAAGAAUUCAUGAUAGAUACUGGAACGGGCAGGAAAACAUUAAGCUGCAGGCUUUGCUUGAUACUUUCCGUGGGGGCAACUUCCAACGACCAAGAGACGCGACCAAGAUGGCACUCGUCUUGAUCGCGAAUAACAUUUUAUUUGGUCAAGACUACCGUAGACGGGUAGCACCUUGGUUGCUAUCAUUGGUGGAGGACAUCGACGAUUGGAAUGUCUUCCUAUGGGGGCACUAUUGUUGGAAGCUGACCUUGGACUACCUUUUGAAAGGGUUCGAAGUACCUGACUCAAGUGUGACAAAGGAAACUCGGUUACGCUACAACAUUUACGGAUUCGCAUGGGUGAUACAGGUACUAUCACUUAACAUUUUUCAGUUUCCUUUUGAAAAAAAAAUUUAUGGGUGCACUCGUUUAUGAUUUACGGUCUAAUAAUGAUUACAUUUGACAUGCAGUUUUGGGUAAUGGAGGUAAUUUCGGUCCUCCUAAAAAUAGUUGCCCCCUCUGGUCCAAAGAAAAACGUCUACCCAUGAAUGUGAAGAUGAGAUUGCAAUCAGAAGUCAAAAGACUUCUACAAUGCAAUUCAGAAGUUAGAGUCAUCUGACCAUAUGAGUGAACAGCUGCUAAUUUUUACGUUAUAUUUGUAUAAUAAUUUUCUCUAUUCAAUAAUGAUUUUAUUUGUUUAUUUGCAGUUGUGGGCAUUGGAGACGUUGUAACCCACCGCGGAUGAGGCCUUCCGGGAGUAUUUUGUGGACCUUGAUGUCUCGUUAUCGGAGGGCCACGAGUACGUGCUAAUAGGGCACAUGGAGGAUCGGUCGAAUUUAGGCUUAGGUGCGAGGCAGAAAAGGAGAAGCUUGAAGGAGAAAAGAGCUUCUAGUGGCACGAAGCGGAUGCACACCGCCGCUGCUUUAAUUGAUGAGCUGUCGGGCCCUGAGUUGAUGGACGAAGGGGACGACCAUGGUCAAGGCAGUGAACAGCCGAUAAGGACAAUUGUAAUGAUUUUGUGUUCUCCAAUUCCAUAUGUGAUUAUUGAAUAACAUUUCCGUGUUUGCAGUUGGACCAUGCACCGGCAGCUCCAGAACCACUCAUCGAUCCUCCUCAAACACAUAAAUGCCUCUAUGACAUCGUUUACCUUAGCUCAAACCACCUUUCAAAAUUCAAUUACUUCAGUUGUUUUCCACCAGCCUUCAAUAGUUUAUUUUUCAUAUUAAAAAUCACUUUCUAACAGUCCCCCAUGAUUUGAAAUCUGGUGCACUCCAAGAAGAGUUUUGAGCAUUUCAAAUCUCUCCCUGGAUAAACCUUUGGUUAAUAUAUCAGCUACUGAACCUCUGUAGUGCAAUGCUUGAGUUCAACCUCUUUUUCAUUCACUGCCUCUCCAAGAGCAUGAUAUUUUACCUUGAUAUGCUUGGUUCUCCCAUGAUGAAUUAGAUUUUUGGCUAUUGCAAUGGCAGAAAGAUUAUCAACAAAAAUCAUGGUGCUCUUAUCUUGUUUGAAACCAAGAUCAUUAAGAAUUUUCCUCAACCACUUCAACUAAUUUACAGCUGCUGUAGUUGCUAUGUACUCAGCUUUUGCAGUACACUGUGCAACAAUACUUUGCUUCGUUGAAUUCUAUGAGAAAAUUGCACUAUUGAAAGAAAAACAGAACCCAGUUGUGCUCUUAGAAUCAUCAAGUGACCCUGCCCAGUCACUAUCACUAUAUCCAACUAAAUCCCCACUCUCUUGUUUCAUAAACCUCAGGCCAAAAUCAGCAGUUAUUUUAAUAUACUUGAGGAUUUUUUUGGCAGCUUUAAAAUGUAACUGUGUAGGAGCUUACAUGAAUCUGGACAAUAAACAUGUAGCACACAUCAAAUCUAGCCUAGUUACUGCCAAAUACAACAAUGAACCUAUUAGACUUCUGUAAAUUGAAUCAUCAAUAGCUGCAGAACCAUCUUCUUUACAAAACUUAUUUCCAAAAGCUAGAAGAGUUGCUACAACCUUACAAGCAGACAUGUUGAAUUUCUUUAACAGAUCCUUGGCAUACUUAGUCUGAUGUAACCACACUUCUUCACCAGUUUGUAGAAUCUCCAUGCCUAAGAAAUAAGUCAUUAACCCUAGGUCUAUCAUUACAAACUCUUACAUCAUCUGGCUUUUAAACUCAAUCAAUGAAUCACCAUCAGGUCCAAUGAUUAGUAAGUCAUCCACAUAUACUGCAACAAUUAACAUUGCAGUAUUUUCAAGUAUCUUCACAUACAAAGUCGACUCAUUUGUGCUUUUUAGUAGACCUUGACUGGAAAAAUAAGCAUCUUCCUUGUCAUACUAGGCCCUGAGUACCUGUUUUAAGCCAUACGAUGCCUUAACCAGUUUACAAACCUUGUCCUCUGCCCCUGGUUCAACAUACCCUUCAAGGUGCUCCACAAAGACAUCUUCAGACAGAUUACCAUUUAGAAAAGCAGCAUUUACAUCCAAAUGGUAUAUCUUCCACCUUUCUUUAGUAGCUAAUGCAGCAAGCAUCCUAAUUGUGUCAUAUCUGGCAACCGGUGCAAAAGUUUCCAAAUAAUCAACUCCAUAAGUCUAAGCAUAACCAUUGACCACCAAUUUGGCUUUUAUAUUUGUUUAUUGAGCCAUCAGAAUUUAGCUUAGUUCUAAAUAUCCAUUUGACUCCUAUUAUCUUGUGAUAUGUAGGUCUGUCUACAAGUAACCAGGUAUUAUUUUUCUUUAUCAUGGAGAUCUCAGCAUCCAUAGCCUUUCUCCAGUUUUCAUCCACAACUGCUUCAGAAUAAGUGACAGGAUCAACAGUAGCAAGAUUACAUUUGCUGUAUAUAUCUUCCAAUGUCUUUGACCCUCUUACAGCUUUACUUUCAUCUUCAAUAUCAGAAUCAUCACUUUCCAACAUAAGUUGAUGAUUAUCCAAAUCUUGACUACCAGGAACAGGUUCUACAAUCUUUUUUUUCCAGUUCCAGAAAUGACUUUUAUUAAAGACCACAUCCCUACUUAUAACCACUUUGUUUGCAUCUAAAUCAUAUAGUCUAUAUCCUUUGGAUUUGUCACUAUAGCCAAUAUGCACAGCAAUAAAAGCUUUAACAUCAAAUUUUGAUCUCUUCACAUAAGGAAUUCAAGCAUAGCACAUACAGCUAAAGACUUUAAAAUGAAAGACAGAGGGUUUUUGUUCAUACUGGAUCUCAAAAGGAGUUUUGAACACCAAUUCUUUAAUGAUGUUUCUAUUUUGAAUGUAGUUGGUAGUGUUAACUGCCUCAACCCAAAAUUUCAUAGGGAGAUUACACUGUAAUAAUAAACACCUUGCCAUUUCAGCAACUGUUCUGUUUUUCUUUUCAGCCUUACCAUUCUGCUGUGGACUAUAAGCAACUGUUAAUUGAUGGUGAAUCCCAGCAGUUGACAAAAGCUUCUCAAAUUCAUUUGAAGUGUAUUCAGCUCCAUUAUCGGUCCUUAACACCUUGAUGCUUAGGCUAGCAAAGUUCUCAACUUGUGCUUUGAACUCAGAAAAACUCCUUAUAGCUUCUGAUUUAUUCUUCAAGAAGUAAAUCCAACAGUAAUUAGAGAAAUCAUCAAUAAACAGGAUAUAAUUCCUGCUUCCACUCAGUGAGGGAUUCUUCAUAAGACCACUCAAGUCAGUAUGAACUAGCUCCAACUUCUUUGUAACUCUCCAACUACUUUCCUUAGGAAAAGGUUUCCUGGUCUGCUUCCCAAGCUAAUAGACAUCACACAACUUCUCUGGUUUAACAAUGUUAGGUAGACCUAUUACAAGGUCUUUUGAAGUCAUUGUUGUCAGUGAAUUAUAAUUCACAUGACCAACUUGUUUAUGCCACAAUUCAGAUAAAUCUUUCUCAGCAUAGAGAGCUAGUUGUUUACUUUCAGACAAUUUCAUAGGAUAACAUUUAUUCUUCAUGCUCACAGUUAAUAAUUCAACACCAGCAGGAUCGAAUAUUGUGCAUUGCCUAUCUUUAAACAAUAAGGCAUAACCAUUAUCAUCUAAUUGACCUACACUAAGUAGAUUCUGAUCAGCUUCAGGCACAUAAUGCACAUCAUGAACAAACCUCAUACCAGAUGCAGUUUUUACUCCUAUGGUGCCUACUCCAAGUAUCUUCAUGUAUAGACCAUUACCUAUUUUCACACAAGCCCUAUAACUUUUAUCAAGCUCAGUGAAAAGAUUAACAUUACUUGUCAAGUGGUUUGAGCAGCCACUGUCAAUCAACCGGGUGCUCUUCUCAUCAAUCUCAUCAUUUGCCUUAGCCAUAAACAAUACCUCCUCAAAUUCAUCUUUUUCUUCAACCACUGCAGCCUUGCCUUCAACUUCUUGUUUCUUCGCUUUACACACUUUCUCCACAUGUCCAAGUUGCUGGCAAGAUCGACACCUCACAUGAGGUCUAUACCAACAGUACUUUGGAGUAUGAUUAGUCUUUUUACAGUGAGUACAGGGAGGAAAUUUAUCAUGACUCUUCCCUUGUUUUGCAGAUCCAGACUUAGUGCCUUUAGCACUAUUCUUCUUAGAACUUUCAGAUUUAGCUUUCAAACCCUUAGUUUUAGCUACUAAGGCAUUCUCAACAGAGUCUUCAUCCUUGAGGGCUUUUCUCUACUCAAAAGCCAAUAUAGUAGAGAUCAAUUCCUUUGAAUCCUCAAGUGAUGUCACUUUUGAUUCAAACUUGUCUGACAUACUCACCAAAAUUUUGUUGACCAUCCUUUGAUCAGUGACUUCUUGUCCCAACAUUCUGAGCUGAUUCACCAGCUUCAACAUCUUAUCCAUAUACUCUUGAAUACCCUCAUUUUCCUUCAUCUUCAUCACCUCAAACUGUUUCAAUAAAUUCAUAAUCUGUAUCACCCUUGUUUUGUCAUUGCCUUAAUAUUCUUCUCUGAUGUUAUCUCAUACUUGCUUAGGAUCCUCCAAAUGCAUAAUCUUGACAAAGAUUGACUCUGACACAGUUGACUGCAGGCUAAUCAAAGCCUUGUAUCUCUUUGCAACUUCCCCCGAGUGUUGCUUAAUCUGAGCUAAAGUCGGAUUAGCAUGCCUUUGAAUAGGCAUCUCACUAGACUCCACCACAUCCCAUGGGUCGAAUGCCUUAAGAUAUGAUCUCAUCUUCACUGCCCAGAAAGGAUAAUUAACACCAAUGAAUACAAGAGGUGCAGUUGCACUAAUUCCAACUAUUGCCAUAUAGAAAUUGAAGAUGAUACGAUCAAAAGCAAAAUGUUACAGGUCCCUUGAGAAAAAACACUCUGAUACCAUGUAAAAGAACUCGAUUUUCACUGACAGAGGCUAAAUAAGAAAAUGAAAAAGAAAGAGAAGAAUAGAGUAUCAGCUUAGAAGUAAAAUGAGAAUUUCAUUGAUCAAGAAGAUAUAUAAAAAACAACGGCUACAAGCAAAUAUAUUCACUACUAAGAGCUGUUCCUUAGAUGUAGCCUUGAAAAACCUAACAAAAUCGGAUCGAAGCACAGAAAACGGAAGGAGAGCUUUCUAUUGCUCUAACAGUCAAAAAACAAAGAACAAAGAAAAUAACAACCAAAUGACCAUUCGACUAACAAAAACGACACUCAUGAAGAACGUUUUACAAGAAAAAUUAAAAGACUAGUGAAACGACACUAAUGGUCAUCGUUUCACAAACUUAAAACACUUAAAUGCCUUUACGACAUUGUUUUACGUAGCUCAAACCACCUUUCAAAAUUCAUUUACUUCAGGUGCUUUCCAUAAGCUUUCAGUAGUUGAUUUUUUAGAUUAAAGAUCACUUUCCAACAAAUUCUUCUUUGUUUCCUUUUUGUUGGGUUUCACUCUUUCCAGGGUUUAAGGUUUUGAGUUCUUUUGCUUUCUAGUGGGAAGCUCACACGCCUCACGGUUCACAACUAUUUAAAGCGUGAGAGUUUAGCUUGGGCCCUAAACUCAUACAAUACAACGGUAAAUAUUAAAAAAAAACACUAGCCAAUACGUUCAAAUAUUUUAAACAGCUAAAAUAUUCUACUCCUAAACAUAGAGCGUGGACUUACCCACAACCCUAUUUGGUGGAGCUAAGGUAUAAAAAUAAUUCACAAGUACUUAUAGGCAAAGGAUAAAGUUGUUAGAAUACAGAAAAUAUUAGGAAAUGGUUUGAAGGGGUGUAUUUAUCUCAUUUUCUUAAAAUUUUUAUUCGGAUUCAUUAUUGGUGUGCAAAAGAGUUUUUUAGGAUAAACUUUAAAUACACAAUAAGUUCAGUCAUUGACUACAUUUUGUAUGGACAAAAUUAAUUCGCUGAACAUUUAUUAAUAUAUGACAAGAUUAUUAAAUUUUUUAUAGAAUUUUUCUAUAGCAAAACAAUAUAGAAGCAAUUCAAAAGAAUUUGAAGGAGAAAGUGAUUGUAAGUUGUUUCUUUGUUGAUAUAAUUUCAUAAAAACCAACAAAUUUUAUUUAUAAACAAAUUUAUGUCUCUUUGUUCAAAGUUAAUCAACCCUUUGAACAAAUAUAGUUGUUUGAGCAAAUACAACUAUUCAACCAAAUCAGGGAGACUGCAUUAAUUAUGUCAUUUUUCUAUAAAUGUUACGUUAACUUAUAUUAAUCUAGGGUGAGCAACAUUGUAAGGUUAUCAUGGAUCGUGGUGGACCAAUGGGUUUGGAUCGAUUUUAAGGUGAUCUUGUGACUUAACGAGUGAUCCAUGAUUCAAAUUUUGUAUGGCCGACACUUUUAAGGUGGUCCAUUGUCCUAGACAUUUUAUCUAUUUACCCAAGAUUAAAAGACUAGACUUGUUCCUACGGUUUAGUCCUUCUGAAAUUGAGUCUUGAAUCAAUUCUAAACUAACAAUCAUUUAAAAAAUUAUAUAAAAAAUUAUAUAAAAAAUAAGAUAAAUAUUUAGAAAUUAUAAGACUUGAACUCAUAAUAAGAAAGAUGCUGUUUUAAAAGAUCUUAACCAUAUUAAGUUAAAGAGUUACAUAAUAUUAAAACAUUUAUAUCCAAUACAAACAAUAAAUGAAUAAAUAAAAAAUCUACCAACAGCACCAAACAAAAUGUAAGACUUUUAAAGUAUUGUAACUUAAAAAUAAAUGUGACCUAUAGCGCGGAUAUGUAUGAAUUUUUCUUAUAGUAUUUAUGAAUUUGAUAUACUAUUUGAGUGUAAUAUUAUUAUUUUUUAAAUAAUUAUAAGAAUUCUUAAUCGUAUCAAAUCAUAAGCUUAAUCAUAGAGUUAACCUUACAAAAAUAUGACCUAAUCCACGAUUAAAAUUUUUUAAAACUGAUCUUAUACAAGUGAUGUAUAAUCAUGACUUUAAAAAAAUCCACCUAAACCAUGCAGUAGCGAAGGGAAUGGGCCGUUAGUAGGGUUCCCGUCUCACAAAAGUUUUAAAAUUUCAUAAUUUACCUUUUGAUUUUUUUAGAAUUUUAUCCUUACAAUAAUUUUUUUGUUUAGUGAAAUGCUUUAUAGUAAUUAGUCAACAAUUAAUUUUAAUAGACUUAAAGAUUAAAUAAAAUCUAUUGUAGAAGAAUUAUUCCCUAAGCCACAUUGUUCUAAGAACUUAGGAUCAACUUAGCUCUUGUCUGUCCCUUCAAACACGAAAUUCUUGCUCCGUCACUAAAAAAUGCUCACCUCUAAAUUAUUAGAAGACAAAGACAACCAUUUUCCUAAUUUCAAUAAUAAUGAGUGAAAUGAAAUUGCAACUAGACAUGUAGUGGUACCUUGGGUAUGGGGUGUGAGGUCUACAUGGAGUAAGAGAGAGUGAGUAAAGGCAUGGGGGUGAAAGAGAGGGUGUGCAAAGUGGGUCCAAAUCAAGGCAUGGAGGAAAUAGCCAGGAUUUGAGUCAAAUUAUCAAAGCACAAAAAUAUAGGUGUGAUUUUCUUCACUUUGCAUUAUUGGGCCAUCAAUAUGAGCUUGUUUCAUUAUGAUUUUUGUUGAUUCUCUCAUUUAGUAUCUACUCCUCCUCCUAAGUAAUGACAGGAGUCAAUACUGUAUAAUUAUCAUUUUGGAAGCAAAUUCUUCUGAUAUCAUGGAACUGUUUUAACUUUUAAAUCAAGCAACUUGAAUUGAAUGGCAUCACUUUUUAAGACAGCAGAUAACAUUCCCUUCCCUCCAGGCUCCAACAUUCAGACCAGUUAAUAGCUUAUAUAUAUAUAAUAUUAAUUUGAUGUAGUUGCCAACGUUGACAUAUCUAUAUAUUGAAAUCAAUAUUGUAAAUUAUAAUAUCCUUAACACUGAUGGAGUAAUUAUGCCAACUAUGGAAUUCUUAAAUUCUACUCCAGAAAGUGGCAGGGGGCCUGCAACAAAAUACUCAGGUAGAUGAUGAGGUUUACAAUUAUUUUACAUAUUCUCCAUUGGAGAACGAAGCAUGUCAAUUUGUUUACAGGAACCACGACAUUCUCACUUGGAAAAGCAUGAUUUCUAUUGACGUAAGCAAAACCUUCAUCUCUUUCUUAUGAUGCUUCUGUUUUAUCAGAUUAAUUAUUACUAUAUAUCAGAUGCAUUUGUUUUUUCUUCUCUAUCAGCCUUUCAAACAAAAGAAACCGAUCUUUCAAAAAACCAGAUUCAAACAACCAAAAACCAAGCCACAAUUUUCUAUCAAAAAAAUCAAAGAAAACACCCUAAUCUAGCAACCACAAUUACAAUCCACAAUAAAAGAAAACCAAAAUAAAAUAUAUAUAAAAAAAUACACAUGGAGAAAGGAGAGAAACAGAGUGAGUUUGGGGGAUUUUUUGGUUUGGGUUUCUAGGAAUAGAUUUUUAUUUUUAUUUUUUGGUUUAUUGGUUGAAGCUUAAAGGAAGGAAGAGUUUAAGGAGCUAUUACCGCCGGUUUAGGAGAGAAAGAGAGGCUUGAAACGGCGUCGGAUAGGGAAAGUUAUUGGGCUUGGGUGCGUUGCCAGUAGGAAAGGAAAAAGAGGGUUACCGUCGGUCGGUUACAAAGGCAAAGGAGGGAGGCUUUGAGUGAGGAAAGAGAGCUGGUGAAAGAGCAGAGAAAAAGCGUUCAGAGAGAAAAAGGUAACUGGUAGAAGAGAAAGAGGAAGAAGAAAAAAAAUAAUAAGAAGUCAGCUUGGGAGGGCCUCUAAACGACGCUGUUCUUGAGUACCUGGGAGAGGCUGCUACCAGAGCUCCAGAUUGGAGUGUUUUGGGAAGCACGGUGGGCUAAGGACACGGGCUUGGGUGCUUACAAACAAAUCAAUUAUUUUGGGUUACUGUCUAAGCCCAAACAAGGUAAAAUCCUUUCCUUUAUUAUUUACAUGGAUAUAUUGCCUAGCCCAAUAUUGAGUUGAGGAAUAUUAAAAGUUAAAAAUAAUUAUAAAUAGNNNNNNNNNNNNNNNNNNNNNNNNNNNNNNNNNNNNNNNNNNNNNNNNNNNNNNNNNNNNNNNNNNNNNNNNNNNNNNNNNNNNNNNNNNNNNNNNNNNNNNNNNNNNNNNNNNNNNNNNNNNNNNNNNNNNNNNNNNNNNNNNNNNNNNNNNNNNNNNNNNNNNNNNNNNNNNNNNNNNNNNNNNNNNNNNNNNNNNNNNNNNNNNNNNNNNNNNNNNNNNNNNNNNNNNNNNNNNNNNNNNNNNNNNNNNNNNNNNNNNNNNNNNNNNNNNNNNNNNNNNNNNNNNNNNNNNNNNNNNNNNNNNNNNNNNNNNNNNNNNNNNNNNNNNNNNNNNNUAUAUAUAUAUAUAUAUAUAUAUAAACAACAUGAUACAAAUAUAAAAAUUAUGAAAAAAUGAAAUGACUAUUUGAGAGAUUUUACCUAAAAAGGGCAAAAAGUUGCUUCUUUCUGGUGGAUUUCUUAGGUACGGAGUUCGAGAUGAAUUUUCAUCGAAGUGUCAGGAUAAAUCCGAAUUCUAUACUCCGAUACCCAUUAGUCCGAACAAUUGUUAUUUAAAAUAAUAUACAUAAAAAAUAAUAUAAUAAAAAUAAAUAUAUAAAUAAGGCAAUAAAUCAUGUUAAAUUAUCAAACAUGUUAUUAUUACUAACUAACUAAUUAAUAAACGUGGUCAUGUAGAUAUUAUCAUUUUAUAUUGUCAUAGCAUGCCACGUGUAUUUUGUUAAUGGGACGAGAACUCCCAUGAUGGGAUUUCCUCGAAAGACUUUUAGAGACGAGUUUUUUUCGGGGGAUAUCCAUAGGUGAGGAAAACUUCGAGACUUCACCAAAACGUUAGGAUGGUCUACGAACGAUUUUUCAAUAAAAGACUAUUGCUCUCAUUAUUCAAAAUUGAAUAAAUCAUGACAUCGUUUUACAACUGCAUCAUGUGCAUCCGUGAAGCCGAAUAAAAGGCUCAAUCAGCUAAUGUAAUAAAAAAUUAAUUAAUAAGCAAGGAUUAAGGAAAUAUAUGAAUAAAAUCAAAAGUAGGCUACAAUAUGAUAACUUAAGAUUAAAUAGUACCAUUUGUGGAACGGACGUCACGAAUGUGCUAACCCUUCUCCGUGCGUAACCAUACUCCCUAACUCGUUUUUAAAAAUCGUAGACCAGUUCUCUUUUUUUUGAUGGAUUUAAAAUUAAUUUGGAAUUUAGUCGUUUAAAAUCGAGUUAAUAGGUGACCAAUCGUACCUUUAAAAACCGAUUGGUGACGACUCAUAAUUUGUUUUUUCACCAUGUCUAACAGUCAGAUUUUUGAACCCGCACGUUAUAACAAGCUCAACUUGGAUUAGAGGUUUAAUUUAAGUCAAUAAAGGGUACCAAGCAAGCAAGCCAAGCCAAACCCAGCCUGCUUAAUUUUCUACACAAUGGGCACCCAAAAGCAAACCAUUGCUGGGGCCUGGGCUUGCUGGGCUCAAGUUUUACCACAUGCUUCAACCCUAGCUCAACUUAAAUUGAAGUUGACAUGCCAUAGUGAAAUGUUGUAGUAUCAAAGCUUAAGAGCUGGGAAAAGAGGUAAAAAUAAUCUGUUGAUUAUAUGGACCUUUAGCUCAGGUCAAGACGAUUGAUUUCUGUAUAGAUUAUAUGUAAUUACAUCAGAAGUCGGGCCAUAUAACUAAAGAAAUGUAGUUCACAGCUAGAGUCCUGAUGGUGCGGCAGUACCAGAAGCAACAAAUGUAGUCCAUUCACCUAAAUAAGUAUCUCACCAUGGUUAAGCAAACACCUUUGAAGUCCUAAAGAUUAAAGACUAGUCUCCAAUGCGGACACCUCAGCUGCUGAAAGCCAUCCUUUUCUUCUGAACUUCAGUAGGUAGCUUAACCUCAGUUGCCAGUCCGAUAACUUGAAGAAAUUUGAUUACACACCAAGCCAUGUCCAGUUGCCACCAUUCCAGACCAUGUCUGGCUGAGUAUUUGAAAGCAUGGUGGUUAUUAUGCCAACCCUCUCCAAAUGAAAGCAAUGCCAUCCACCUGAAAAAGUUUGCAGAUAUUUUUAUCAGUAACUUCUUAAGAAAUAAACUUGACAAGAACUAGAUGUAUAUUAGUACAAGGGAAGUCAAUUGUACCAAUUGUUCCUGGACAAAUCACCAGAAUUCCAUGCUUGCUUCCCCCACACAUGGCAAGCUGAAUUUACCAGCCAAGUGAUGUGGUAAAGCCAUACAAUCCUCACACCCUGCAAUGCUCGCACGUUAAUGCCUAGGCCUCCUUAUGGUUAGUAUGCUUAUUUGUCUUCGCUAAGUAAAAGUUUCACUUUUGAAGAUUAAAAUUAUACAGAAACUACUCCAGUCCAAAGUUGUUUGAUCUUCAUUCUAGCAAAUCGAAUGUAACACAAAUGGGCUCCCCAAAAGCAAAAUUUAUCUACUUGAGGAAUCAGAAAUGAUAACCCCAGCCCCACGUUUGUUACAGGAUUAUCUUUUUCUAACAAAUUGUCCAAACUGUUAUCAUAUUAGCAUAGAUAAACAUGGCCCAGCUUAAAGAUUCAAUUAGAUAAGACUUCCAACUUGUGAUUUAGUCCCCAAGCUAGAAUCUAACAUGCUUUCUCAUUUUUCCCUUCACUUUGAGCUAGAGUACAACUUCCUAUAGCUAUGUUUUUUCCUGUCAACUUAAUGACAAAAAUAAUUUGAAAGUAGGGCCACUAGCUUGGUGGUAUGAAGUAAAUUGCAAGUGGAAGGCCCACCAAUCAAACAAAGGGUUUAUGACUCUUUAAGGAUUUUUUUCGUCCUUUUUUCUUUUUCUAGUAACGAAAAGGGAUGGCUGCAACUCAUGCAAGAGACUAUGUUGGCGGAGCUCCAUGAAAACUUUUAGCUUAAGAUAUCUCUAUGCUCUAAAAAGGAAUAUUCAAGGCAAAAUAGGCUAAUCCUCAAAACAUGGGAAAAUUGAAAAACUCGCUUACCAUUCCCCAAACAAGGAAGGGAAACCCUCCUAGAGUAUAUAGCAAAACUCCAAGUGCAAUUGGAUGAAGAAUGUAGGUACCCUCAAGAAACUUGUAGAAGGGUUGCUGCCGUAGAUCCCCAACAUUGGUUGGUUCUCCACACUGCAAAUGUUCCAUUGAUACAAAACAUUAAGAAUAUCAAUUCGUUCUGUGCAUAUGUGAGUGCUUGCAUGUUUGAGAAAGAGAGCGAUAGAGUUACCUUUUCAAUAACGGUGUUGGUAUCAAAGAGCCAGCUCAUGUGGCUGAACCAAAAUCCUUCAAUAGGGCUAUGGGGGUCUCUGUUAGAAUCACAAAAUUGGUGGUGGUACCUAUGUGUGCUUACCCAACUAAUUGGAUUCCCCUGCAAACACCAAAACCAACAAUCAUAUAACAAUCAAAUGAUACUGCCAUUUCCAUGAAAAUAUUCCUCAAAAAUUUUUAAAGCUACCAACCUGAAGUGCCUGAACUCCACAAUAAGCAAAGAAGUACUCAAGCCAUUUUGGAACCUUGAAGCUUCUAUGAGAAAGAUUCCUAUGAAAAGACAAUGUAAUCCCUAGAAGUCCUGUCACCACAUAGAGUCCCACAGCAAGCCAAAAGGCGGGCCAAUUGAAAUGAAAAGGUGCAAAAAGGCUUAGCAAAUGCAUGCUUACAAUAACACCAGCAAUGGCCAUAUCCGAAGUGUUCCAUUUUCUUCCCCAAAACGCCUUUUUCUUCCUUUGCACCACCACAUUAGAUAACAAAAUUCUACCCGAGAUUUUCCCUUCUGGGUCGGGCUCGUUUGCUUCAACUGACACCCCAUUAGCCAAUGCCAACACUUUCCUAUUGCUGUAACUCCUAUUCAAACGAGUGAUACUCGCCUGCAGAGGACUCUGCUCUCCGUUUAUUUGAUUGAAUUUUGGGUUUUGAUGGCCAAAGUUUAAGACUUUGCAAGAGCAAGAUCUGGUUUUCAUUGUUGUCGCUCUUUGAGGAGGUGAUACAUCUAAGAACUUUGGCUUUGACAAUAACGAUGUGACGAAAGCCAUUGGGUCUCAAUUGGUGGGGUUCUCAAGAAAAAAUUGGGUUUUAUA
This 22411-nucleotide long non-coding RNA is filed under the name Theobroma cacao (cacao). RNAcentral describes it as "long non-coding RNA (TCAC_LNC003662)". Lineage: Eukaryota; Viridiplantae; Streptophyta; Magnoliopsida; Malvales; Malvaceae. The record is from RNAcentral.